CAUUUUGCUGGGAGAGAAAGAGGCCAAUGGUGGUGGAUCACAGGGCUUCUCCCUCCCUACAAGAAGACACUGAGGCCCUGGAGCUUGUCCAGGGAAGGGCAGUGUAGCUGUGAGGGGUCUGGAGCACAAGUGUGAUGUGGAGCGGCUGAGGGAGCUGGGAUUGUUCAGUCUGGAGAAGAGGAGGCUCAGGGGAGACCUUGUUCUCUGCAACUGCCUGAGAGGGGGUUGUGGUGAGGUGGGGGUCAGCCUCUGCUGCCACAUAACUGCGAUAGGAUGAGAGGUGAUGGCCUUAAGUUGCACCAGGGGAGGUUCAAUAAAGUUGCCAAGCAGAUCACCUCAGUUUUGAAGCUGGAUGCUUUUUUUCCAACUGCAGUCCAGAAACCCACCACUGAAUCUGGAAAUGAAGGUGUAAUCUGUCCAAAUACAGACCCUUUCUCUAACUGCUGUAUAUGUGACUUCUACCCAACAUUGUAAUUGGAGGAACUGUAAGUACUGCUAAAGUCUGGAUUUUCCCGUUCUUUCCAUAUCUUGUCUUGUUCAUAUUGCAUUUCUGUAUUUAUUUCAUUCAGACUCCCCUGGUGGUCCCCACACAUCCCUUGUUAUCCCAUCAGGACUUUUAGACAAUCAGCUGUUGUUCAUGCUUUCUUCUGUUGUAAUAUGUUGUCAAAAGCUCCUUCCUGUUGUAACCUAACAAAAUCAUCUCACAGGCAUGGGGGUGGUUUGGUCAGGCAUCCAGGUCCCAAAAGACACCACGGAAAAGGCAAGUUCAGCUUGUUCUUUCUGCUUGUUAGCUUCGCAAGACUGAGAGUAAGAAAGCAUAUCUGUCUAUAUAAUAGCUGAAUGUGAUUUGAAUGCAAUCGAGCAGCUCAAGUACUUAGUAAAUGAUGAUGUGUACAUACCUAUAUUGCAGAGUGGAACUCUAUCUUACACUCUUUUUUACAAAGAUAACAAGUUCCAUAUCAGUUUUUUUUUUUACCUUGCUCGUAUUUUAUGAAUAUAGUGGAUGUUAUGACCCAGGCCUGUAUGUCAGCCAGUAUAUUCUUCUAUCUAUUUUAAAGCAGUGAACAGCAGUGCUUGACCAGCUAUAAUCUUAACUUGUUGUCGACAUAUUUUCAUUAAAUAUGUAAAUAUUAUUGGACUAAUAACAGUAUCCUUUCAAUAAAUCAAAACAGCUUACAGAAAAGUUCAUACAUUUAUCUUCAUAGUGACCCCCAAAUAUUCACUAAUAUCAGUGGAUUUCCUUCUUGGAGGAUUUGCUAAAUCAAUUCCACUCACUUGAUACUUGAAAAGUUUAUUUGAAAUUACAAAAUUUAGACACGCUUAAAAAUAAAACUCAGAGUUAAAUUUUCUGUAUAAAGUGCUGCCCCUAUUUUGUUAGUGAACAACAUUCUUUCGUUUGGAAGUAUGUAUCCAUACAUAUCUGAAAUGUAAAUGCAAUUCAAAUAUAUAUAUGCAUGUAAAAAGAUAUACAAAAUAGCUUUAGGUUGUAUAUUGACAAAUCCAUAGGGUUUAGGAAGCCUCCAGACUCCAACAAUUUUGCAUGGUUUUAGGAUUUUCUGAAAACAGGACAAGUCACAGAGGCUUCUGAUGGUAUUCCUGAGAUGUGGCUAAGUAUGAGAAAUGAUAUCUUCUGCACAGGAAGAACUGCACAUUUAUCAUCCAAGUAGCAAAAAACUAUUUCCAAUUAUUUCUAUUUUGUCAUUAAGGCCUCAUUUUGGGGUUUGGGUCUUCACAAAAAAAUUCCCACCACCUCUUUGAUGAACGAUUCCCUUUGACAUUGCUGCCCUCCAGCGGUCUUGUUAAGGCUUCCACGUUUCCAGGAAAGCAUUGAAAAACAUUGUACUAAAUCUUUGUUCUGAUUAGACCGCAGAGCAGCCAAAAAUACUUCUGUCAUCUCAGUCUGACAUAUUCUCUCACCUGGCUAUUGGGUAAGGCGUGUCUAUUCUCUACACUGGUAAAACUAUGCAUUAUCCCAUAAUUACUGCGGAACCAAAUGCAAUCAAAGAGGCAUCACUGGAAUGCAAGUCUCCAUUGGAUGUUACCAUGCAUAUCUGGAACUGAAGCUAGAGUCAACAGCUUGAAAAGCCAAGUUGGAGACGUGGCAGACGGGAAGCUAACCUCUCAGACAGCUAAAAAUAACCUGUGGCUGGCAGUUCCACCUGGAUAUUCUAUCCACCGUUUUCUCCCAGAACAUCUUGUGCGGUGUUUUUUUGUGGCUGUCUUCUGACGUGAGUCAGCCCUUUCACUCGCUUCCUGUUUACACCUUUCUUGACUUUAAGCUUCACUCCGUUUCCUUCACCUCUCUCCUGUAUCUACAAGUCUGUCCUUCACUAAAACAUGUCGGUGAGUAUUGCUGUACUUCUGCUGGAAUACUUAAGCUGUAAUUUCACUCAAGCCGCACGGGAUCCUACAAACAGACACACCCAACACGUAGGAGAAGCAUGUGGAAAAUGCAUCCACAAAGGAGUCAUUCCUUUCCGACAGUGUCUGGACAGACAUGUCACUCUCUAAUUAAGCUGGAUCCCUCUACACGGGGAUCCAACUGGAGUGUGCAGGGCUGGGAUGACACUGGAGCCACGAUAAGGGGCUCAUACUCUGUGUUCACCAGCAUAUUCUGUGCUUCUGGGAUUGGAGAGGAUUAUUGGGCUGCAGGAUUACUCCCUUUUGGCACAAGCUUUUACAUUUAACCCUAAAUAUUUUACCCAGUAAUGUGUUUUGUUAAAAUUAGUGAUUUUGUUCUGUGCUCCUUGAAUAGCUGGGAGUCCACUGAUUAUUUGCAAGGAGUCUAUGGAAGUUAACAAGAAAAGCAGCCAGUAGGUAGAUUCACCACCCCAAAUCUGUCUUCUGUUUCUGGAUGUGCACCGUUUCCCAAAUUAAAGACUAAGGCCAGCAUUUUCACACCUCAAAGCCUUCUUUGUGUGUUCACAAAAGGUUCUUCUCAGUGCUAGUUUUGGGAAAUAAAUCAAUUUCUUGGCACGUCAUCUACAAGGUGAUGGACCAGAGUUUCUCCCUCCAGGUCUUAAAGACUUGGCAGUAACAACAAGAUUUAACCGAUGCUUAAUUGCGUUCUUCCAUACUUCAGGGACAUCACUAUGUCUGUGUCCCAUACUACACUGCCAAUUCCAGGAUUGCACUGGUUGUCAGAAAACCAUGGCUUAGGCCUGUCUCGUGCUGUCCUAGAGUCUUGAUACUUUACCUUGGUCAAUAUGGAAUGAGGUCUGAAUCUUUGGAGCAGAAGAUGGAAAAGACCCACCAUACACCUCCAGUAUGUUAAGGUGCAAUGAGGAACUGCUGCCUAAUUUAGAAAGAGAAGAAGCCCAAACAUGUCUACUUUAAGGAUUUUUCAUCUGAAUUUGUCCUCAGCUCUUGAUUCUUUAAUAACAGCAUGAGAGAAAAUGCGUUUGAAGCAGAUGCUAAUCCGGACAGGCCCAUUCAAACACAUUUAGUGUAAACUGAUGAAUGCAGUGUUCCCUCCUAGUAGACAUGUUGGGGGCUAGAAAUAGCUUAUGGAUAUGUCAGACUAGGUGAGAAGGAAAUUUCUAAGGUGAAACUUUUAAAAUGCCACCUUAUUUCCCUUUAUGAGUUAUUUUUAUCUCCUGGAAAGCUAUAAAUUUAGACCAAACCCCAAACAAUAUUUCCUGGCUGUGGUGUUUCAGGGUGGUGAAUGAAGUGGGCUUAAAUAUAUUUCUCUCCCUUUAUCCUUUGGAACUCAGCCAUACACAAAUAACCCAGAAGGCCAGCUGAGUUAGGGCUGUGUAGCUGAGCAAGAACAUCUUGCAGGAGUCCCAAAAGAUCUUGUAAAGAAGACCUUUCACUUUGGGACAACAUGAAUACAGAAGCACUAAAGCUAUCUCCAAGGGGAGGAUGGGUAGAAUCAAUGAUGGGCAACACAAUGUCUCUUGUUUCAAAGAGCUGGAGAACAAGCAGAUGGCAUAGACUAUCUUGUUGGAGGGAAGUCUGACUGCUGUCCUUUGGAGAAACAGCCUGAGGGCUCAUGGCUGCUGCAGGCUGGCCCUGGUAGCAGAAAUACAAGGGAAGUGGCUUGGAUUUCUGGCCUCAUUUUCUAUUCUUGCUUCCCAAGUUAGCUUCAAACUGUGCCUUAGCUCUUGCAGACUGGGAGGAAUCUCACUGAAAAUAGCGUCUGUUAACAGAAUACAGACAGGGGAACACACUAUCAAAGACAGAAAAUCCCAGUGAGACGGGAGAGUGUGAGAGGUGGUGGUGUCCUGAGGGCACGAAGAGCCCAUCAUCAGCAAAGCGUACAGCUGUGUUAUCACCUUACGUUCUCAGCAUAUUACCUCAUUUUUCCUGUAGGGAAAGAUAGGACCAGCCCAGCCAAACCGGCAGGCUUGCAUAUGCUUUUCCAUAUGUGAGCCCUGCAGUGGAUCAAAGAAAAUGAGGAGGCAGCUGGGUUCAACAGCCAGAAGAACUGUUACCUGCCUACAAAUUCAGCACCUUCUUUUCUGCCCAGGUUAGCACGACAGAUUUAAGUGCCCCUCAUGUAAGAUGCCCAGUGAUACCUAAUCUAUUUGCCAGGGAAUGGCAGAUAUUGACACAGGAUCAACUGGGAACUGACAACUUGCUGGAGCAGAAGCAAAAUGCCAGCGUGGAAAUCCCACUGGACCUGAAAUGACACUACGUCUUCAGUUUUUAGGCAGCCAAAUACUGCUUUUAGAAUUGUAAAUUUCAAGAAGCACCAAUUUUCCCCGCAGAAACACCGUUAGAGUACCCAGCAAACUGUUAACAACCAAAAUAUGGGCUGACUCUCAGUGCUAUGUCUUAGUGUGGAAUUAAAGUGUUAAUUUUGAUCUGAAAGCACUCAGUCUCCUAAUGCUUGUAUUUUGGAGACUUCACCCGAAGGCAAAGCCCAGACCAAGCUUCAGGUUUUUCUUCUCCAGCUUUUAUAUGGACCACGAGCUCUUAGCUGGGAUCUCACUAAUGUGUAUUAAUAGCAAUCCCAUAGCUCUGUGUUCUAGCUUCCGUGUAUUGUUACCACAGGCACGUCUAAAUGCAUUUGCACAAAUCAGGUCUCCUGCAGUCGGAGGGAACGUGUGUCUACAAAAGGCUUUUCUGCUUUGGGUGCCCUACAGCAGGAGCAGGAAGGAAAUGAGUCAUUCAGGCUCUUUGCUUUGGCUGCACCAGGCUUGCAGAACUGAUGAGGCACCAAAAACCCAAUAAAAUACUUCCUCAAUGGGCAGCAUUUAUAGUUCUUCGUGUGCCCUGUUACCCUCUUGGUGUUUGCCCUUCAAAAAUCCAAAUAACCCCACCAGCCAGAGGAAUGUAACUGCAUUUGAUUGUCAGGAAUGUAAAUACAUGAUUUUGGAAGUAACAGUAUAUACGUAUUUAUGUAUAAACUUGAGGUGGCACAUAAAGCAAGCGUUCAUUAUUCCCUUUGUAAUAAAGACACGGUGUGUGAUCUCAGGCUUACAACACUAUGUCCCUGACUAGUAUUUACCCCGCCUGUUUUGAGAUGCUUCAGCAUCUUGAUUUUAUUCUCUUUACCCUUUCCAAAGGCUCUUCUCUCUCUUCCCUGACAGUUUAUUGAACUGUGCUCCUCACUUUCGUCUUACUGAAACAAGAUAUUAGAAGUAGCUUAAUGAGAAGUUGUGAAUGCUCUUUUUGAAUUCACUUGAUAAGAUUUUACAAGUUCAUCCUUUUAUUUGUUUGGGGAGUAAGUUAAUCUGAAAACUAACCUAGCAAUAACUUGUCAGUUGGGCUGAUCUUAUUUCCCCCCCCCCCCCCCCCCGAGACUUCAGAAUGUGUCUUUCUCUUCAUUUCAUCUCUGGCUUUUGGAAAAAAACAAAGCUGACGAUAAAUUAACAGCAACAAUGUUGGCUAUUCAUUAGGACCCCGAGAGACACCGGAAUUCCUUGUAUACCUUCUGUACUAACAUCUGCUCUAGAGAUACUAGCAAUUCAUAUUCAAGAACGUUUUCACACUCUGUAUGAAUGUUUCAGAUGGAGGUGGAGGGAAGUCUGAUGUCACUGAGCCAUAUGAACUGCAGCUUCAACUCUUUGGGAUCAGAAUAAAAAAGCCUUACUUGUAACAUCGCCAAUUAUCUGUGUUGCACGCUCUGGAAUCACAAGGUCCUCAUCUGCUACUUAAACCUGUGGGACAGUCUUUUAUAUAAUGAGAUUUGCUAAAUUGUAGGUGUAACUCAGACUUUCUGUGUUUUCCAUGCAGUUAAAAUUCAUAUGAACUGGCUACACUGAAAGAAUCAGUAAUUAGUUAAUGAUAUGAACAAUUGCAUCUAAUUAUUGUGAUUAUCCCAGAUACAGAGGAUUAAGCUGACAGCUGAACUAAAUUAAAAGGGAUCAUUACGACAGCAAUCAUCAACCCUCCUCUAUACCUAACUUAUAUUCCCUGCUGCUAUUGGUUGUGAAGGGGCAACGGUGCAAGGAAGAAAGGACUUGCGUCAAGCAUUCCUGGCAGCAGAUGACUUGGCCUAACGACUGUGGUAUUUAAAAGGUAGAAAUGGACUUUGUGACCUGGACAUUAGUGGUUGUGAAGCUCCAUUGUAACGUGGGAUGUGUUUGAAGGAGCCAUUAAUGCAUGAAAGUGGCAGGACCCUGGGAACGGCCUCCCGCUUUCUUUUCCCUAACAGUGGUUGUCAUGCCAAGAAACCUUUUCAUUCCAGUACAACUAGUACGUUACCAGGUACUCCAGUUAGCUUAUUGUUCCUCAUUCAUGCAACGUUAGCUUCAUGUGAAUGGUCAGAUUCACUAAAUGAUUCAGACAGGUACGUGUCAUAUGUAACUCUAGCAUUGUGUGAUCUGGGCUGUUUACUGAUGCACUGAACUGAGAAGCUGAUGAAAUGUAUAUGUUACAUUUUCUUUGAGCUUCUCAUUCACUGUUAAUAGAUGAGGUUUUGAUAGCUUUCAAAAAAAUCUCAGAAGUGUUUAAGACUAAAUGUGCUUUUCU
Molecule: long non-coding RNA, 6921 nt
Organism: Numida meleagris (helmeted guineafowl)
Lineage: Eukaryota; Metazoa; Chordata; Aves; Galliformes; Numididae
Exons: 4
Source: RefSeq, a predicted model, not a curated record